RNAcentral lists this small nuclear RNA (164 nucleotides) under Carassius auratus (goldfish). RNAcentral's name for it is "U1 spliceosomal RNA (ENSCARG00000065461.1)". It matches the Rfam family "U1 spliceosomal RNA". Rfam says of the family: U1 is a small nuclear RNA (snRNA) component of the spliceosome (involved in pre-mRNA splicing). Its 5' end forms complementary base pairs with the 5' splice junction, thus defining the 5' donor site of an intron. The record is from Rfam by way of RNAcentral. Lineage: Eukaryota; Metazoa; Chordata; Actinopteri; Cypriniformes; Cyprinidae.
AUACUUACCUGGCAGGGGAGACACCAUGAUCAAGAAGGCGGUUCACCCAGGGCGAGGCUUGUCCAUUGCACUCCGGCCAUGCUGACCCCUGGGAAUUCCCCAAAUGCGGGAAUCUCGACUGCAUAAUUUAUGGUAGUGGGGGACUGCGUUCGCGCUCUCCCCUG